UACAGAGGGUGCAAGCGUUGUUCGGAAUUACUGGGCGUAAAGCGCGUGUAGGCGGUCUGCCAAGUCUGAUGUGAAAGCCCUGGGCUCAACCCAGGAAGUGCGUCAGAUACUGGUGGACUGGAGUGGCGGAGAGGAUGGCGGAAUUCCCGGUGUAGAGGUGAAAUUCGUAGAUAUCUGGAGGAACACCGGUGGCGAAGGCGGCAUCCUGGACCGGCAUUGACGCUGAGGCGCGAAAGCCAGGGGAGCAAACGGG
This 253-nucleotide ribosomal RNA is filed under the name uncultured bacterium. Its description in RNAcentral is "partial 16S ribosomal RNA". It matches the Rfam family "Bacterial small subunit ribosomal RNA", at positions 524 to 776 of the family's 1533-position model. The record is from RNAcentral.